Molecule: ribosomal RNA, 253 nt
Filed under: uncultured bacterium
Lineage: Bacteria
Description: partial 16S ribosomal RNA
Rfam family: Bacterial small subunit ribosomal RNA
Source: RNAcentral
UACGAAGGGGGCUAGCGUUGUUCGGAAUCACUGGGCGUAAAGAGCACGUAGGCGGACUUGUUAGUCAGGGGUGAAAUCCCGGGGCUCAACCCCGGAACUGCCCUUGAAACUGCAAGUCUUGAGUCCGAGAGAGGUGAGUGGAAUUCCUAGUGUAGAGGUGAAAUUCGUAGAUAUUAGGAAGAACACCAGUGGCGAAGGCGGCUCACUGGCCCGGUACUGACGCUGAGGCGCGAAAGCGUGGGGAGCAAACAGG